GGGAGACAUCCAAGCACCCUAGGAAUUCCCAGACUGGACCAGCAUCGCCCACUGCUUCAGAGGCAGGUGCAAGAAAUGCCCCCGGUGGAUAGUUAUGGGGCAACAGCCCCUCAGUUAGUGAAUUAUAAAUGAGAGGGAGUUUAGCAGGACUCUAAAUCCAUCUACUCCAAUGUAUAAACUAACCUCUAGUAUAAAGCACACUGGGUUAUGAUUCGAGAGAGAUGAGUUCUAUUCCUGGCUCUGCUGCUGGGGGGUCCUGAAUCAUGACAUUGGAAUGUCUGAAGCUGGUGAUGCGACUGCAGCAUUCUCUUCACCUGUCUCUGCUGGUCGAAAAAUAGGUGCUUUGCGGCAGGGACUGUCUCUCGCCAGGUGGAUGUCGUUUGAGGCAGGGUUGUAAUAAUGUCUGGCGUGUGCCCCCUGCUACCGCACGCCGCUUGUUCAGAACGUCUAAGGCCAGAUGGGACCCUCCUGAUCAUCACGUCUGACCUGCUUAACCCAGGCCAGAGAACCUCCCCUGUUGAUUCCCGCACCAAGCCCAUGGCGUCGGCUUGAGUCAGAGCAUCUCUUCGAACGAGACGUCCAGUCAUGAUUUAAAGACGUGCCAGGACGGGGAAUCCACCACGUCCCUUGCCGAGUCGUCCGAUGGUUAGAUGUUAAACAUUUCAUACCCCUCAGAGGAGGUGCAGUGACGGGGGGUUGCAGACGGGCGGCACUGGACCGUAAGCGCUGGAGUCUGGAUUCAGCCGUGAUGGUAGCCAAGGGGCCGUCUGAUCAGCACGCCAGCGGAGGGUGUUUUAGCUGCAAAGAGCGAAGCUGAAUGCAGGUUCAUCAGGGCAAGUGAAACUGCAUUAAACCCCGUGUGCUGCUCUGUUCAUUGGGGUCAGUAUCAGUUUUGUUGCUCUGCUUUGAACUCUCUCCAAUUUGUCCGCAUCUUUCCUAAAGUGUGGUGCCCAAAGCUGGACGCAGGACGUCAGUUGACACCUUGCCAGUGCCAAGCAGAGUGGCAAAAUUCCUGCCCAUGUCUUACCCACGACACUCCUGUUCAUAGAGUGAGAGCCCAGCGUGUCUCUCUCACCUGUACUCAGCACCAUCUGCACUGAACUCAGCACCGCAUGGCUUCUUAAAGGCACCCAGACCCCGGGAGAGAGCCCCAACGGUGAGCUAAAGACACAACUGUAUUAGGGCCGGUGGAAAUGUCUCCAUCAAACCUCGCGGGCCCCUUGACCGGCUUGUGCGGGGUGAGGACCUAUGGGAGCAGGUGCCGAGUCAGCGUCAGGAGUUUUUGCCUGGAUGAUUCGAUCAGCAGGACGGUAAAUAAUUCAUUGGCAUUUUGCAGCCACCCAGUU
Molecule: long non-coding RNA, 1346 nt
Organism: Malaclemys terrapin pileata
Lineage: Eukaryota; Metazoa; Chordata; Testudines; Emydidae
Exons: 5
Source: RefSeq, a predicted model, not a curated record